AAAUUAGACGACGAAGACAUUGUUUCUUAUAUUCUUGCAGGUCUCGAUGAUGAAUUUGAUUCAGUGGUGUCCGCCGUCGGCGCACGGGUGGAACCCAUCUCUGUUGGCGAGUUAUUCUCUCAACUUGUCAGCUUUGAGC
Molecule: non-coding RNA, 139 nt
Organism: Oryza brachyantha (malo sina)
Lineage: Eukaryota; Viridiplantae; Streptophyta; Magnoliopsida; Poales; Poaceae
Source: Rfam